UGUUGCUGCCCGAGCCCAGCAGCCUCCAGCUAUCCACUGCCAGAUCCGUGAGCGGUGGAACUAAAUGGGGAAGGGAAUCAACACUGAGAAGUCAGAGGACCAACUGAGGAAACAUGAACCAAGCGUGAGGUAACGUCUCUUCCUCUUCAAAGAAUUUUCUGGACUGCAUUCAGUUGCUUCUGAACGUGGAACAGUUCUUGCCAUUCACAAAAAGACUGGGAUAUCACAUUUUUAAUACAGAAAUUACACUGGAAGUUGGCACUGCCAUCAUUAGUCCUCCCUAGAGAGGAGUUAGACGCAUCUUUUCUCUGGUGAACAUUUUAAUAGGCAGUAUUAGAAAUCGAUUCAGAUUAAAUCAUGUUGAUAAAGUUUCUUGAUUUAGCAAUUAACAGAGAUAAUUACUUCACCACAGAGACUUCAUAAUUGCAAUAUGCACUAAGCUUCCAUUUAGAAAUUGUACUGAUUAGCUGAAACGUGGCACAUAAUUAAAAAAAUAAAUACAUGCAUCAGCCUGGAUAUGGACCAUAAGGUUGACUACAGCCAUACUUAAAUCUUCAUCACUUAGAACAUGGCCCUUGCACUAAUGCUUAAAAGCACGUAUCUCC
Molecule: long non-coding RNA, 605 nt
Organism: Struthio camelus australis
Lineage: Eukaryota; Metazoa; Chordata; Aves; Struthioniformes; Struthionidae
Source: RefSeq, a predicted model, not a curated record